CCCGCUGAACUUAAGCAUAUCAAUAAGCGGAGGAAAAGAAACUAACAAGGAUUCCCCUAGUAACUGCGAGUGAAGCGGGAAAAGCUCAAAUUUUGAAUCUGGCGGUCUCUGGCCGUCCGAGUUGUAAUCUAGAGAAGCGUUUUCCAGCGCUGGGCCGUGUACAAGUCUCCUGGAAGGGAGCAUCAUAGAGGGUGAGAAUCCCGUCUUUGACACGGAAACCAGUGCACUGUGAUGCACUCUCGACGAGUCGAGUUGUUUGGGAAUGCAGCUCAAAACGGGUGGUAAAUUCCAUCUAAAGCUAAAUAUAGGCGAGAGACCGAUAGCGAACAAGUACCGUGAGGGAAAGAUGAAAAGAACUUUGGAAAGAGAGUUAAACAGUACGUGAAAUUGCUGAAAGGGAGACGCUUGAUGUCAGUCGCGUCGGCCGGGGGUCAACCUUGCUUUUUUCGCUGGGUGUACUUCCUGGUCGACGGGUCAGCAUCAGUUUCGGUCGCCGUACAAAGGGCGGAGGGAACGUGGCACUCUUCGGAGUGUGUUAUAGCCUUUUCGUCGCAUGCGGUGGCUCGGGACUGAGGAAACUCAGCACGGCUUCUAGUUUGUGCUCAAGGGAUGCUGGCAAUAAUGCCCUUAAGCGACCCGUUCUUAAACCACGGAAG
RNAcentral lists this ribosomal RNA (656 nucleotides) under uncultured fungus. RNAcentral's name for it is "eukaryotic LSU rRNA". It matches the Rfam family "Eukaryotic large subunit ribosomal RNA", at positions 24 to 667 of the family's 3401-position model. The record is from RNAcentral. Lineage: Eukaryota; Fungi.